GACAUGUACGGAAUCCUCCAGAGACGGAGGAGUGCCUUCGGGAGCCGUAACACAGGUGCUGCAUGGCUGUCGUCAGCUCGUGUCGUGAGAUGUUGGGUUAAGUCCCGCAACGAGCGCAACCCUUGUCAUUAGUUGCCAUCAUUCAGUUGGGCACUCUAAUGAGACUGCCGGUGACAAGCCGGAGGAAGGUGGGGAUGACGUCAAGUCCUCAUGGCCCUUAUGACCAGGGCUUCACACGUCAUACAAUGGUCGGUACAGAGGGUAGCCAAGCCGCGAGGCGGAGCCAAUCUCACAAAACCGAUCGUAGUCCGGAUUGCACUCUGCAACUCGAGUGCAUGAAGUCGGAAUCGCUAGUAAUCGCAGGUCAGCAUACUGCGGUGAAUACGUUCCCGGGUCUUGUACACACCGCCCGUCACACCAUGGGAGUGGGGGAUACCAGAAGUAGGUAGGGUAACCGCAAGGAGUCCGCUUACCACGGUAUGCUUCAUGACUGGGGUGAAGUCGUAACAAGGUAGCCGUAGGGGAACCUGCGGCUGGAUCACC
Molecule: ribosomal RNA, 543 nt
Filed under: Neisseria meningitidis NM174
Lineage: Bacteria; Pseudomonadati; Pseudomonadota; Betaproteobacteria; Neisseriales; Neisseriaceae
Description: bacterial SSU rRNA
Rfam family: Bacterial small subunit ribosomal RNA
Source: RNAcentral